GAAAUGCGAUAAGUAGUGUGAAUUGCAGAAUUCAGUGAAUCAUCGAAUCUUUGAACGCACAUUGCGCCCCUUGGUAUUCCAUGGGGCAUGCCUGUUCGAGCGUCAUUUGUACCCUCAAGCUAUGCUUGGUGUUGGGUGAUUGUCCAAGUCUUCAUGGCUAGGACUCGCCUUAAAGUAAUUGGCAGCCAGUGUUUUGGUAUAAAGCGCAGCACAUUUUGCGGUUUACUCCAAUAAUAUUAGCAACCAUAAAGCUCAUUUAUCACUUUUGACCUCGGAUCAGGUAGGGAUACCCGCUGAACUUAA
Molecule: unclassified non-coding RNA, 303 nt
Filed under: uncultured fungus
Lineage: Eukaryota; Fungi
Also listed under: 1 other name
Description: sequence contains ITS1
Rfam family: 5.8S ribosomal RNA (bases 1-105)
Source: RNAcentral